Non-coding RNA from Triticum aestivum (bread wheat), 135 nucleotides. The record is from Rfam. Lineage: Eukaryota; Viridiplantae; Streptophyta; Magnoliopsida; Poales; Poaceae.
CUAUUACUCCCUCCGUCCGAAAAUACUUGUCAUCAAAAUGGAUAAAAAAAAAUGUAUCUAGAACUAAAAUACAUCUAGAUACAUUCCCUCUUAUCCAUUUUGAUGACAAGUAUUUUCAGACGAAAGGAGUACAUA